AGUGGCAAAGCUGGGUCAAAUGGUGGUUCCAUUCCAAGUUUUCUAAGAAAUCGACAUACUGCUUCCCAGAUUGGUUGCACCAGUUUACAGUCCCACCAGCAAU
RNAcentral lists this microRNA precursor (103 nucleotides) under Marmota monax (woodchuck). The record is from RNAcentral. Lineage: Eukaryota; Metazoa; Chordata; Mammalia; Rodentia; Sciuridae.